RNAcentral lists this ribosomal RNA (429 nucleotides) under Acidobacteriota bacterium. RNAcentral's name for it is "Acidobacteria bacterium partial 16S ribosomal RNA". It matches the Rfam family "Bacterial small subunit ribosomal RNA", at positions 355 to 776 of the family's 1533-position model. The record is from RNAcentral. Lineage: Bacteria; Pseudomonadati; Acidobacteriota.
UGGGGAAUUUUGGACAAUGGGGGAAACCCUGAUCCAGCCAUCCCGCGUGUGCGAUGAAGGCCUUCGGGUUGUAAAGCACUUUUGGCAGGAAAGAAACGUCAUGGGUUAAUACCCCGUGAAACUGACGGUACCUGCAGAAUAAGCACCGGCUAACUACGUGCCAGCAGCCGCGGUAAUACGUAGGGUGCAAGCGUUAAUCGGAAUUACUGGGCGUAAAGCGUGCGCAGGCGGUUCGGAAAGAAAGAUGUGAAAUCCCAGAGCUCAACUUUGGAACUGCAUUUUUAACUACCGGGCUAGAGUGUGUCAGAGGGAGGUGGAAUUCCGCGUGUAGCAGUGAAAUGCGUAGAUAUGCGGAGGAACACCGAUGGCGAAGGCGGCCUCCUGGGAUAACACUGACGCUCAUGCACGAAAGCGUGGGGAGCAAACAGG